CUUUUUUGUAGAAGGAGAGCUGAAUGAAAUCUUGCUUGGAGCUGGAGUCUGACAAGAAGUCCUCAUUCAGAUUCACACACGAUCGACAACCUGAUUCUUCUCUUUCAUCAUCCACUUCCUAGUCUUCUGCUCCCAGUUCACUUUGAUCAGAGGCUACUGUCUCAACAUAGAUAAAGAGAAUCAUUUUGGAAGGACCUCAGAAAAAGGAGCUGCUGGGGUCCUCCUUUGUCUGCUGUGUUUACUUGUCCUAAUUGCCAAGACUCUGAAGAGGGGGAUGAAAACAAGAGAAGAUGUGAAGACAGCUUAUGAACUGUAAAGUAUUGUUAAAAUCAAAGCCAUUACACUUACUUUUUUUUUCUUAAGGAAUUUUCCAAUCCAUUCUAUCCUGAGUUAGAAAAAAAAAAAAAAAACAACAAAACAAAACAACUGAAAACACUUUAUUUUAUCCUGAAAUAUUUAAUAAGCUAUAAGAAGCAUUUUGAUUUGUGGGGGAAGAUGAAACCUCAAAUUGAACUUCUAAGUGCUUGGUUUGUGUUUAUUACUAAUUUAUUUCCUUGUUAAACUUCGGAUGACGUGUGAUAAACUGUCUGUGUCACCGUGCUAUUGAUUGUACUGCAUUAGAAGCUGAAUUAAAUGUACAUUACUCUGGGGCUGGUCACCGUGAUGGACGCUUUAAAAGGUUUUGAGGGAGAAUAAGUGAGAACCAUUAGGGCCCUUUAGACUCUGUCUCCCAUUGGCCCCUGUCACCCUGGGGAAGUUCUCCUGUAGCUUGGUGGCAUGUAUAACUUUGUCUUAAUGCUUCCCCUAAUGAUUUCUAAUGACUGCUUGGUCAUACCACAUACUUUGUAAAGAAAUAGCUGUCUCCCACAACCUUGUCUUGGGCUCAUUCUAGAAGAUUAGGCCUUUGUGUAUACCCAUGUCAGAUACAAAAUUUCGUGGUGAGUCUCUCAGUACUAGGUACUCCUCUGCUGGUGUGAUUAAAAAACAAAACAAAACAAACAACCAACAACAAAAACAUGUCCAGGAGCAGCUUACAGAGGGAAGACUUUAUUUGGCUUAUGGUUCCAGAGGAUAUGGGUGCAGCAAGACCAGGAGGCGGGGCAGCAGGUGGCAGGCAUAGCACCUGGAGCAGAAGCUAAGGGUUCACAUCUUAAACCUAAAGCAUGAAACAGAGAGCAGGCUGAAGAUGGCGAGGGUCUUUAAAGCCCCAAAGUCUGCCUCCAGUGACAUACUUCCUCCCAUAUGGCCACUCCUCUGAAGCCUCACAGUGCCACCAACUGGGUACCAAGUGCUCAAAUGCCUGAGCCUAUGGGGGAUAUUUCUAAUACAGACUAAGACAGUCGUCAUUUUAUGAGGUCAUUUGCUCAUUGAUUCAUCCAUCUAACACCAGUUGAAUAUUAACACUGUUAUAUUGAGACAGUGGCUCCUUUUAUACCACCAAGUUAUCACUGGGACCAGUACUUGGAAAGGAGUCACUGUUGACUUAUCCUAGAAGAAAGUGUCAAGUUAUGGGAAAAUGAAGAAGUGGAGGCCAGAGUCAGGUUUCUAUUCCAGUAUCUCCCAGGUGGGUGGCAUUGGUCAAGUCACUUUUUAAAAUUUAAUUGAGCAUUUCUUUGGGGCUUUAAUGUGGUUAGUUUUUGUAGAUAUGUAUACAUGAAGACUGUGUUGCUUAUUGUGUAUAAGGCCCUAAGUUUACUUCAGUGACUUAAUUAAUACAACAAACUAGGAGAGCUGGAGAGGUGGCUCAGUGGUUAAGAGCACUGCCUGCUCUUCGAGUUUAAGUCCCAGCAACCACAUGGUGGCAUACAACCAUCUGUAAUGAGAUCUGCUGCCCUCUUCUGGCCUGAAGGCAUACAUGCAGGCAGAAUACAGUAUACAUAAUAAAUAAAUAUUUAAAAAA
RNAcentral lists this long non-coding RNA (1900 nucleotides) under Cricetulus griseus (Chinese hamster). RNAcentral's name for it is "lncRNA (ENSCGRG00015042043.1)". The record is from RNAcentral. Lineage: Eukaryota; Metazoa; Chordata; Mammalia; Rodentia; Cricetidae.